AGGCCCUACGGGCGCAGCAGUCGGGAAUAUUGCGCAAUGGAGGAAACUCUGACGCAGUGACGCCGCGUGCAGGAAGAAGGUUUUCGGAUUGUAAACUUCUUUAGACAGGGAAGAAAAAAGACAGUACCUGUAGAAUAAGCUCCGGCUAACUAUGUGCCAGCAGCCGCGGUAAUACGUAGGGAGCAAGCGUUAUCCGGAUUUAUUGGGUGUAAAGGGUGCGUAGACGGAGAAGCAAGUUAGUUGUGAAAUCCCUCGGCUUAACUGAGGAACUGCAACUAAAACUACUUCCCUUGAGUACUGGAGAG
RNAcentral lists this ribosomal RNA (305 nucleotides) under uncultured bacterium. RNAcentral describes it as "bacterial SSU rRNA". It matches the Rfam family "Bacterial small subunit ribosomal RNA", at positions 334 to 656 of the family's 1533-position model. The record is from RNAcentral.